RNAcentral lists this ribosomal RNA (497 nucleotides) under uncultured bacterium. RNAcentral's name for it is "partial 16S ribosomal RNA". It matches the Rfam family "Bacterial small subunit ribosomal RNA", at positions 28 to 507 of the family's 1533-position model. The record is from RNAcentral.
GAUGGACGCUGGCGGCGUGCCUAAUACAUGCAAGUCGAGCGAACGGACGAGAAGCUUGCUUCUCUGAUGUUAGCGGCGGACGGGUGAGUAACACGUGGAUAACCUACCUAUAAGACUGGGAUAACUUCGGGAAACCGUAGCUAAUACCGGAUAAUAUUUUGAACCGCAUGGUUCAAAAGUGAAAGACGGUCUUGCUGUCACUUAUAGAUGGAUCCGCGCUGCAUUAGCUAGUUGGUAAGGUAACGGCUUACCAAGGCAACGAUGCAUAGCCGACCUGAGAGGGUGAUCGGCCACACUGGAACUGAGACACGGUCCAGACUCCUACGGGAGGCAGCAGUAGGGAAUCUUCCGCAAUGGGCGAAAGCCUGACGGAGCAACGCCGCGUGAGUGAUGAAGGUCUUCGGAUCGUAAAACUCUGUUAUUAGGGAAGAACAUAUGUGUAAGUAACUGUGCACAUCUUGACGGUACCUAAUCAGAAAGCAACGGCUAACUACGUG